AAUGAACGCUGGCGGCAUGCCUAACACAUGCAAGUCGAACGAAAGCACCGGGAUCACUCUUGUAUGGUGGUGGCGCCGGUGGGGAAAUGCCCAUGGGUUUGGCAUAACUCUACGAAUGGGGUACUAAAACGGGAUCAUAUCUUAUGCCCAAAAAUUUAUUGCACCUGGUUGGUCAGUCGUUGGAUUGGGUAUUUGUGAGGGUAAUAGCCUACAACGGGGUCGAUGCAUAGCUGGUUACAGAGGAGGCUCACCCACACUGGGGCUGAGACACGGCCCAGACUCCUACGGGAGGCAGCAGUGGGUAAUAUUGGACAGUGGGCGGAAGCCUGAUCCAGCAAUGCCGCGUGAGUGAUGAAGGCCUUAGGGUUGUAAAGCUCUUUUACCCGGGAUGAUAAUGACAGUACCGGGAGAAUAAGCUCCGGCUAACUCCGUG
RNAcentral lists this ribosomal RNA (433 nucleotides) under uncultured bacterium. Its description in RNAcentral is "partial 16S ribosomal RNA". It matches the Rfam family "Bacterial small subunit ribosomal RNA", at positions 29 to 507 of the family's 1533-position model. The record is from RNAcentral.